Non-coding RNA from Rattus norvegicus (Norway rat), 4857 nucleotides. NCBI's taxonomy places the organism in Eukaryota, Metazoa, Chordata, Mammalia, Rodentia, Muridae. The record is from RefSeq and is a predicted model, not a curated record.
UCAAGCAGUGACAGAAGGGACACACUGUGACAAGGACUUUGAUGUUCAAAAUGCCCUGGAAGUGGAUUUCUGCCCUGCUCCUGCUACAGAUAAGUUGCUGUUUCAAAUCUGGAAACUGUGGGAAGGUGUUGAUGUGGCCGAUGGACUUUAGUCAUUGGAUGAAUAUAAAAAUAAUACUCGAUGAACUUGUACAGAGGGGCCAUGAAGUCACUGUCCUGAAAUCUUCAGCUUUCUUUUUUCUUGAUCCGAAAAAAUCGUCUGACCUUAAGUUUGAACUUUUUCCUACAUCUGUCAGUAAAGAUGAGCUGCAAAAUCAUUUCAUAAAACUUUUGGAUGUGUGGACUUAUGAGUUGCCAAGAGAUACAUAUUUGUCAUAUUCUCCUAUCCUUCAAAAUAUGGUUUAUGAAUUUUCUUCUUUUUAUCUAAGACUUUGUAAAGACGCUGUUUCAAACAAGCAGCUCAUGGCAAAACUACAGGAUCCAAGUUUGACCUUCUUUUGUCAGACCCUGUGGCUGCCUGUGGGGAUCUGAUAGCCGAACUGCUCCACAUUCCUUUUCUGUACAGUCUUCGCUUCUCUCCAGGCCACAAACUUGAAAAGUCCAUUGGAAAAUGUAUACUCCCUCCUUCUUAUGUGCCUGUAAUUUUGUCAGGACUGGCUGGCAAAAUGACAUUCAUAGACAGGGUAAAAAAUAUGAUAUGUAUGCUUUAUUUCGACUUUUGGUUCGAGAGACUUAGACACAAGGAAUGGGACAUGUUUUACAGUGAGAUUUUGGGAAGGCCCACCACUGUAGAGGAGACAAUGGGCAAAGCAGAAAUGUGGCUCAUUAGAUCCUACUGGGAUUUGGAAUUUCCCCACCCAACAUUACCAAAUGUUGACUAUGUUGGAGGAUUCCACUGUAAACCAGCUAAAUCCUUGCCCAAGGAUAUGGAAGAAUUUGUCCAGAGCUCUGGAGAGCACGGUGUGGUGGUGUUUUCUCUGGGGUCAAUGGUCAGCAACAUGACAGAAGAAAAGGCCAACGCAAUUGCAUGGGCCCUUGCCCAGAUUCCACAAAAGGUUCUUUGGAAAUUUGAUGGCAAAACCCCAGCAACGUUAGGACCCAAUACCAGAGUCUACACGUGGCUCCCCCAGAAUGACCUCCUGGGUCACCCGAAAACCAAAGCCUUUGUAACACAUGGUGGAGCCAAUGGCCUCUAUGAGGCGAUCUAUCAUGGAAUCCCAAUGAUUGGCAUUCCUAUAUUUGGAGAACAAUAUGAUAACAUUGCCCACAUGGUGGCCAAAGGAGCAGCUGUUUCAUUGAAUAUCAGGACAAUGUCAAAAUCAGAUUUGCUCAGUGCACUGGAGGAAGUCAUAGACAAUCCGUUCUAUAAAAAAAAUGCUAUGUUGUUGUCAACCAUUCACCAUGACCAGCCUAUGAAGCCCCUGGACAGAGUUGUCUUCUGGAUUGAGUUUAUCAUGUGCCACAAAGGGGCCAAGCACCUGAGACCACUUGGACAUGACCUUUCCUGGUACCAGUACCACUCUCUGGAUGUGAUUGGGUUCCUGCUUGCCUGUUUGGCAGUCAUUGCAGCCCUUAUUGUAAAAUGCUUCUUGCUUGUUUACCAAAUCUUUGUGAAGAAGGAAAAGACAAUGAAGAAUGAGUAGAGCCUCAUUCAGUCUCAUUCUAAUUUAUGAACCACAUUAUAAACUUACUGAUUUUUUAAUCAAGGCAGAUCACAUUUGUAAGAAGACAUAUAACUCCGUGAAUUCUGAUAUGUAAUCAAAAAUCCAUCAUUUUUAAAUUUUAAAACCACUUAAUGUAAAAAGUUACAUUGUAGAAAAAUGUGCAGAAUAAAAGUAUUCUUGAUAGAGUCCUAAUAAUCAAAUUAUUAAUCUUAAAAUAUUUGAAUAGUGUCCAUUUACCUCUUUGUCUGAGACUGAAUCUAUAGCUUUCAUACAAUAAAAUGUAGCUAACUUGUACACGAUAAAUACUGACAUAUAAAAAUGUUCCUUUUUCUGUAAUAGUCUUAAUUAUUUGUUGUCUGGAAUAAAGUGUUGUUAGUUUGGAUAUCAGUUUUAAAGGAAUCUGUUGGCUAUUCUGUUCCUCUAAAAUAAUGUGCUAAUAUAAAUCAUCUCAAGGGAAAAGCAGAACAGUUUAUUUGGAAUUGUGGAUACAGUUCCUUAGAAUGUAGAGUAGCAGGGAAGGCAGUGUAGCAAUCAGCCAGAGGAGGAAGCUCACUUGUCAUAGCUCAACCACAUAUGGAAAGCAGAGUGAGAAAGAAGUGGGGCUAAGCUAUGAACUUUCAAGGCUUACUCCAGUGAUGUACUUCAUCCAAAAAAUUUAACCAAUUCAAUUAAGAUUUCAUAACCUCAAUCAGCACUACAAAUUUUGGGAAAUGUGCUCAAAUUCAUCAUCAUAGUUGAAACAUUUUACAUUCAAACCAAUAACAGGAAAUAACUCUGUCUUUAACAUUUUUAGCAUACAUUAUGUUGUUACCAUUCUAGUCCACCAAGUGUAACACACCACCAUAGAACACCUGUACUUCUUCAGUAUAAUUUAGUUAUGAUCAUGAGGAAUAAUGUUCAUUGGAAAUGAAACUUAUGAACAGGGAACAAAUGGAAACCCUAAAUAAAGUAAAUUUAGUUUUGAGAUUGGUUCUUUAUGAUGCUGGUUGGUAUACAUAUAUAUCAUAUACAAAGAACACAAGAAUUUAGACUCCAGAAAACCAAAUAACCAUAUUAAAAAUGGGGAACAAAACAAAACAAUGAAUUCUUACACAGAAUGGCUGGGAACCAUCUAAAGAAAUGUUCAGCAUCCAUCUUAGUCAUUAGGGAAAUGCAAUUCAAAAUGAUCCUGAGAUUCCACUUCACAAGAGUCAGAAUGGCUAAGAUUAAAAACUCAUGUGACAGUAAAUGUUGCUGAGGAUGUCGAGAAAGAGGAAUACUCCUCCACUAUUGGUGAGUUUGAAAGCUGGUACGACCUCUGUGGAAAUCAGAGGGUGUUCCUCAGAAAAUUGAACAUAGUAGUAUCUGAGGACCCAGUUAUACCUCUUCUGGGCAUACACCCAAAUGAUGCCCCAACAUAUAACCAGAGCACAAACUCCACUAUGUUCAUAGCACCAUUAUUUAUAAUACCCUGAUGCUCGAAAGAACUCAGAUGCCCUUCAAGAGAGGAAAGGAUAGAGAAAAUGUGGAACAUCUACACAAUGGAGUACUACUGAGCUAUUAAAAUCAAUGACUCCAUGAAAUUCAUAGGUAAAUUGAUUGACCUAGAAAAUAUCAUCCUGAGUGAGGUAACCUAAUCUCAGAAAAAAACAUGGUAUGUACUCACUGAUAAGUGGAUAUUAGCCCAAAAGCUCGAAUUUCCCAACAUACAAUCUACAAACCACCUGAAGCUUAAGAAGAUGGAUGACCAAAAUGUGGAUGCUUCACUCCUUCUCAAAAGGGGGAGCAAAUAUAUCCAUAGGAGGGGAUAUGGAGGCAAAGUUUAGAGUAGAGACUGAAGGAAUGGCCAUUCAGAACCUGAGUCACAUGUGGCCCACAGAUAUACAGCCACAAAAACUAGAUAAGAUUGAUGAAGCUAAGAAGUGCAAGCUGACAGGAGCCGCAUAUAGCUGUGUCCUGAGAGGCGCAGCCAGAGAAUGUCAAAUACAGAGGUGAAUGCUUGAAGCAAAACAUUGAGCUGUGAAAGGAUUCCCCGUUGGAGGAAUUAGAGAAAGAAAUGAAACAGCUGAAGGGGCUUGUAACAUGAUUGAACUUAGUUCCCCCCAAAAAAGACAGAGCCUAGCAGAAUGGAUGUUGCAUUAAAGAAAAACACCUUAACAAUAAACACAGACAUAUCUUCAAAAAAUGGGCUGGAAAGAAAAGGUUUAAAAACAAAGAGGCCAAGAAGCAAACUUUAAUUAUCAUUCUAAUAUCUACUAAAAUAGACUUAAAAUCAAAAUUAAUCCAAAGAGACAGAGGACACUUCAUAUUCAUCAAAGAAAAAAUCUACCAAGAUGAUAAUUCAAUUUUGAACAUCUACAACCAAAACACAGGAAUACCCACAUUUGAAAAUACAUGUUGCUCAAGCUUAAAUCACACCUUGAGCCACACACAUUAGUAGGUGGGAUUUUAAUAUCCCAUUAUCAUUAAUUAACAGGACAUUCUGAUAAAAACAAAAAGAGAGAAAAACACUAACAGACAUUAUGAAGCAAAUGGACCUAACAGACAUUUAUAGAAUAUUUCAUCCAAACACACAAGAAUGUAUUUUCAUCUCAGCACCUCAUCAAUCCUGCUCCAAAACUUAACAUCUAGUCAGUCACAAAGGAAGCCUCAACAGAUACAUAAAAAUCGAAACAACACCUUGUAUCUUAUCAGGUCAUGGUAAAGCAGGGCUUCAACAACAACAGAAACAACAAAAGUCUACAUGCUCUUGAAAAUUGAACAACUGUCUUCUCAGUGGUCUUUGGGUCAGGAAGAAAUAAAGAAAACACGGAUUAUCUAGAAUUCUAUGAAUUUGAUGGCACACUAAACAUAAAUUCAUGGGACAUGAUGGAAGCAGUGCUGAGUGGAAAGUUCAUAAUAUUAAUCCCACCAUAAAGAAAUUGUAAUUUCUCAUACCAGCAAUUUAAAUGAAUGUGAGAAAGCUCUAGAGAAGAAGAUAGAAGAAGGAGGAGGGGAGAGGGGAAAGGAAAAGAGGGAGAAAGAGAGGGAGAGGGAGGAAAAGGAGAAUGAGAAGGAGGAGAAGGAGAAGAAAGAGAAGAAGAAAAAACCAUGGCAAAGAGAAGUAGAAGGCUGGAAAUAAUCAAAUUCCUGGCUGCUAAGAAGAGAAGUGGGGAAGGAAAGGAAGAAAGGAUUACAAAGAAUUUGAAAAUGCUUGGACCAGAAAUAGGCAGGAA